AGUGAACGCUGGCGGUAGGCCUAACACAUGCAAGUCGAACGGCAGCACAGUAAGAGCUUGCUCUUACGGGUGGCGAGUGGCGGACGGGUGAGGAAUACAUCGGAAUCUACUUUUUCGUGGGGGAUAACGUAGGGACACUUACGCUAAUACCGCAUACGACCUACGGGAGAAAGCAGGGGAUCUUCGGACCUUGCGCGACUGAAUGAGCCGAUGUCGGAUUAGCUAGUUGGCGGGGUAAAGGCCCACCAAGGCGACGAUCCGUAGCUGGUCUGAGAGGAUGAUCAGCCACACUGGAACUGAGACACGGUCCAGACUCCUACGGGAGGCAGCAGUGGGGAAUAUUGGACAAUGGGCGCAAGCCUGAUCCAGCCAUGCCGCGUGGGUGAAGAAGGCCUUCGGGUUGUAAAGCCCUUUUGUUGGGAAAGAAAAGCAGCAGGUUAAUACCCCGCUGUUCUGACGGUACCCAAAGAAUAAGCACCGGCUAACUUCGUG
RNAcentral lists this ribosomal RNA (492 nucleotides) under uncultured bacterium. RNAcentral describes it as "partial 16S ribosomal RNA". It matches the Rfam family "Bacterial small subunit ribosomal RNA", at positions 29 to 507 of the family's 1533-position model. The record is from RNAcentral.